Molecule: long non-coding RNA, 3165 nt
Organism: Lotus japonicus
Lineage: Eukaryota; Viridiplantae; Streptophyta; Magnoliopsida; Fabales; Fabaceae
Exons: 7
Source: RefSeq, a predicted model, not a curated record
AUUUAGUAAAUCUCAAUAUAAUUAGUUGGGGAGUAAAUCUUAGCCGUCCUUCCCUUUCAAUCGUGGCCAUUUGUUUCUUUCACUAGAUGUUAUCACCUUUGCCGUUUUCGUUUCCACCUCUUCAAGGCGCGAUACAUUUUCGUUCUUCAAUCUUCCACCUCUUCAAAAGUCUUCCGUUUCAGUUUCUCCCCUGACUCGGCCGCUUCAUUCUCUGCAGCCUCAUUCCAGCGAUAUAAGAUCCCCCUUCCACCUCCAUCAAACCCAAAUCGACACAACCUCCUUCAACACCCAAACUCGCGACACCAUUCCUUCUUCCUCAGCCAAGCCAUCGCUGUCACCGCUUCCUCUUUCCCUAGCCAAACCACCUUCCCUAACCUUCGAUUAAAUCCAUCAAUCUUCCAUACUUUUAAUUUUCAUUUUAAUUUACUUACCCUUUAUUUGCCAUUCAUGUGUUAUUCGUAAUUGAUCCUGCAUUGCUGCCAUCUGCUCUCCUCCAAGGCCAAAGUAACAUCUUUUAUUAUUUAUCCAUUCGGUUAAUGUUUAUUCAGUCUUUUGAUUUUCCUUUCAUAUGUUCUUCUUAAUCGGCCCAAUUUAGGAUGCCAUAUGCUCUCUUGCAAUGCUAAGAUCUUGACCUGUAUUGAUUAUUUGUGCUCUGAAGCACUUAACUGCUAAAAGUUGCCUUUCUUCUCUGUUGCUCAAUUGGAUCUGGACCUGCAUUGAUUAUUUUUUUGUGUUUCUACCAUCUGUUAGUAAAAUUCCAUUGAGCUAUAGAACAAGAUCAUACAUUUUCAUAUUUUCUAUUCGGUCAUGUGUUUAAUCUCUACAAUGAUAAGAGCAAGAUUUGGGGGGAUUGAGAUUAUGUCAUGUAUGAAAGGGGAUGAGCUGCUAGGUUAACAUAGGCUCACUUUUGCAUUCUCAAGGACUAUGUUGAAUUUUAAUUCUGCAAUGUACCUUUUCUUCCUUUCCUUUUUCUCACUGAUUCCACUUUCUUGAUAGACAUCAAGCCCUAAUUGGAUUCUGCUCUAUUUGAACUCAAGUGGUUCAUAACCGGAUGAAGAGUGUGAAGAAUAUCCAAAAAAUCACCAAGGAAUGAAGAUGGUUGCUACUCCUAAGCUACAAUUCAUAACCGGAUGAAGAGUGUGAAGAAUAUCCAAAAAAACACCAAGGAGUGAAGAUGGUUUCUGCUUCCAAGCUACAAUGAUUUUGUGCAAGAGUAACACACAUGAUGAAAUGAAGGAGGAUUGGGAAAAAAAGACGGCUAGGGCGAAAGAUUGGAUAGCUUCACAAAGCAAUUCAGUUUAUAAGAAAUGUGAUAAUAAACCUGAUGAAACAAUGGCUUGGAAGGACAACAGAUGAAGUGUGUUGUGUUCACAUCUCUUUAUCUCAGCCCUAAAAUUAUCAAAUUGAAACCAUGUUUACUUUCAAGAAGUGCUGAAGCUUGAAACGUUUCUCAUGUUUGUCCUAUUUAAAGAGAUCAUAAUAUUAAAGUUCAAGAUUUAUGCAACUAUCUCAUAAAUCUGGAAGGUGGUAGUUGGGGCUUAAAGAGAAAGAUGCAGAACUUAUGUCUUUAGGGCUCCAUUGUGAUUUGGUUACGACCACCUAUGAAAUCUGUUCCGCAAGAAGGAUACUACUUUGUUCCUUCUUGCUAAACAAUAAAUGUUGUGGUUUUUUGUUGCUAAGAUACGACCUUGUAAAUUAAAUCUACAUAUUUCCCUUUGAUUUCUGUCUUUGCUCACAGAUUUUGGGGUUUAAAAUGAGAGGAAAUCCCUUCGGCUCCAUGCCCAGAGUCUUCCAGCAGAAUGGUGAAGAUGAAGUAAGUUAAAGGGUCAUCUUUUUAGUCUGAAGGAUUUUAUUUUUCACUUUCUCUGGCGGGAAAGUUGUUUAGGCCAUAGUGGGGUAGCUGCAGAACCAUCACAAAAUCUUCCAUGUUGCUACUGGGGAGGGGCCAAGAGUAAUGUUUCUUUUAUUCUCUUUAGGUAGUUACAAUUGACUAUUUUUUCAUUUUGUUUUUAUUUCUUUAUUGUCUAAAACAUUUUAAAUUUGAAGCAAGCUGCACUAUUGUUAGUAUGUGUUACAAGGCCAAAGUUUUCUAUUAAUAUUUUCAAAUUAGUUUUGAUGUUAAUGCAGCAACAUCCACAAAACUUGGCUGGCUUUGGAGACAGUUUCUAUUGCUAUAAUGAACUACCGUUUAUACACAUGCUAUCUUGCUUUAUAUCAUGCUUCAUUUUAUACACAUUCUACCUUGAAUUCAUGCAAUUGGCCGGGACAAUCUUAAGCAAUUCUUUUUUCAAAUUAUAUAGUCUACAUUGUUUUAUAAUCACUUCCAUGCUUUGGUGCUUCCAAUGUUUCUUGGAUGAGCAAAGAAUUGCCCUGUUUUGAAUUUAGGAGGAACAUAGGGUAAAAAUAUCUUGCUGUCCCUGGAAACAUCUCACAUUUUACUUUUGUUUGUAUACCUCUACCAUGAAAUUUUGUGAAUUCUUAUACCAUAUUAUUUCACAAGUAAUACCCUAUAGGGAGAAGAAAUUAGCUGACAUAUAUGCCAUGAAAAGGUCUGAAAUGCUUAAUAGGGGAUAUGCGUGUUUCAUGUUUUCCUUUGAAGUUCGUUAUAUCCAUUCUUCCACUUUUCAGUUAAUAUCAGGGAAAAGAAUGUAAUGAUGAUCACAGGUUGAGCAGGUUAGAGUUGAAAGGAAUGUGCUUGCAGAAGUUGUCAGUGAUUGAAUUGUGAAACUGUAUUACUCCAUGUGACCAAAUUAAAUAGCCGGUUCUCCCUGACUUCAUAAUCCUUUACUUCAAUGAUGAUCCUAAAUGGUUAAAGCAUAGUGUGUUUCUUAUAAAUAAUGGUUAAAGCAUCUCAACCUUUGUUUUUCACUUAUCGGUGUUCAGUUUUUUCCUUCUUUGAGAUACUAACAUGCAAGUAUUACCUCCUUAUUAAUUCGUAUUGUGUUUUUCGGCAGCAGAACACUAUUGUUCUCCAAACAUAUGCAGUUUUCUCAAGGGCCUUCUUUGACUCAUAUGUUUCAGUUAAAGACCCUCAUUCUUACAAUAGUGUUGACUUAUGAGGAGUUCGUACCAGGGCCUUCUAAAGUUGAUUUCUUCACCUUUUGAAUUAAGUUUUAAUUAACUGGUGAAGAAAUUAUGUUCAAAAAGACAAUAAAGAUUUGAAUU